Molecule: ribosomal RNA, 434 nt
Filed under: uncultured Acetobacterium sp.
Lineage: Bacteria; Bacillati; Bacillota; Clostridia; Eubacteriales; Eubacteriaceae
Description: bacterial SSU rRNA
Rfam family: Bacterial small subunit ribosomal RNA
Source: RNAcentral
AUGGAAUGACCCUUCGGGGGAAUGAAAUCCUAGAAAGUGGCGAACGGGUGAGUAACGCGUGGGUAACCUGCCCUAUGGAAAGGAAUAGCCUCGGGAAACUGGGAGUAAUGCCUUAUAAUAUACGAGAGUCGCAUGGCUUUUGUAUUAAACGCUCCGGUGCCAUAGGAUGGACCCGCGUCCCAUUAGCUAGUUGGUGAGAUAACAGCCCACCAAGGCAACGAUGGGUAACCGGUCUGAGAGGGCGAACGGUCACACUGGAACUGAGACACGGUCCAGACUCCUACGGGAGGCAGCAGUGGGGAAUAUUGCGCAAUGGGGGCAACCCUGACGCAGCAAUACCGCGUGAGUGAAGAAGGUUUUCGGAUCGUAAAGCUCUGUUAUUGGGGAAGAAAAAAGACGGUACCCAAGAAGAAAGUCCCGGCUAACUACGUGCC